RNAcentral lists this ribosomal RNA (207 nucleotides) under uncultured bacterium. Its description in RNAcentral is "partial 16S ribosomal RNA". It matches the Rfam family "Bacterial small subunit ribosomal RNA", at positions 568 to 774 of the family's 1533-position model. The record is from RNAcentral.
CGCGCAGGCGGCUGUUCAAGUCAGAUGUGAAAGCCCCGGGCUCAACCUGGGAACUGCAUUUGAGACUGGACGGCUUGAGUUCGGGAGAGGAGAGCGGAAUUCCCAGUGUAGAGGUGAAAUUCGUAGAUAUUGGGAAGAACACCGGUGGCGAAGGCGGCUCUCUGGACCGAUACUGACGCUGAGGCGCGAAAGCGUGGGGAUCAAACA